GAUGAACGCUAGCGGCAGGCUUAACACAUGCAAGUCGAGGGGUAUUGGUUUUCGGACCAAGAGACCGGCGCACGGGUGCGUAACGCGUAUGCAAUCUACCUUUUGCAGAGGGAUAGCCCAGAGAAAUUUGGAUUAAUACCUCAUAGUAUAGUACUUUGGCAUCAAGGAACUAUUAAAGUCACAACGGCAAAAGAUGAGCAUGCGUCCCAUUAGCUAGUUGGUAAGGUAACGGCUUACCAAGGCUACGAUGGGUAGGGGUCCUGAGAGGGAGAUCCCCCACACUGGUACUGAGACACGGACCAGACUCCUACGGGAGGCAGCAGUGAGGAAUAUUGGACAAUGGGCGCAAGCCUGAUCCAGCCAUGCCGCGUGCAGGAUGACGGUCCUAUGGAUUGUAAACUGCUUUUAUACAGGAAGAAACACUCCGACGUGUCGGAGCUUGACGGUACUGUAAGAAUAA
Molecule: ribosomal RNA, 460 nt
Filed under: uncultured bacterium
Lineage: Bacteria
Description: bacterial SSU rRNA
Rfam family: Bacterial small subunit ribosomal RNA
Source: RNAcentral